This is a ribosomal RNA of 943 nucleotides. It matches the Rfam family "Bacterial large subunit ribosomal RNA", at positions 577 to 1529 of the family's 2925-position model.
GAUCUGAUUAAUUCUGUGACGGCGUGCCUUUUGCAUAAUGAGCCUACGAGUUAAUUUUACUAGCGAGGUUAAGGUAUUAAGUACCGGAGCCGGAGCGAAAGCGAGUCUGAAUAGGGCGAAUAGUUAGUAGGAUUAGACGCGAAACCUUGUGAUCUACCCAUGGGCAGGUUGAAGCUUUGGUAACACAAAGUGGAGGACCGAACCGGUUGACGUUGAAAAGUCUUCGGAUGACCUGUGGGUAGGGGUGAAAGGCCAAUCAAACUGGGAGAUAGCUCGUACUCUCCGAAAUGCAUUUAGGUGCAGCGUCGUAUAUAAGUUUAUUAGAGGUAGAGCUACUGAUUGGAUGCGGGGGUUUCACCGCCUACCAAUUCCUGACAAACUCCGAAUGCUAAUAAAUGUUCUACGGCAGUGAGGGCAUGGGUGCUAAGGUCCAUGUCCGAGAGGGAAAGAACCCAGACCAACAGCUAAGGUCCCCAAAUUUCUGUUAAGUUGAAGCAACGCGGUUGGACUGCAUUGACAGCUAGGAUGUUGGCUUGGAAGCAGCCAUUCAUUUAAAGAGUGCGUAACAGCUCACUAGUCGAGCGGUCCGGCAUGGAUAAUAAUCGGGCAUAAACAGAAUACCGAAGCUAUGGAUUUAUAAUUAAUUAUAUCUGGUAGGAGAGCAUUCUAUCGGCGUAGAAGCUGAGUCGUGAGGCUUGGUGGAGCUUAUAGAAAAGAAAAUGUAGGCAUAAGUAACGAUAAAGGGGGCGAGAAACCCCCUCACCGAAAGACUAAGGUUUCCUCAGCCAUGCUAAUCAGCUGAGGGUUAGUCGGGACCUAACGCGAACCCGAAAGGGGUAGUGGAUGGACAAUGGGUUAAUAUUCCCAUACUUGCUCACACUAAAAAGGGGACGGUUCGAUGUAGCUAUUGAAGACGGACGGAAGUGUCAAGGCUUAGCCUUCG